Sphaeramia orbicularis (orbiculate cardinalfish) is the source of this 143-nucleotide long non-coding RNA. RefSeq lists it as uncharacterized. Lineage: Eukaryota; Metazoa; Chordata; Actinopteri; Kurtiformes; Apogonidae. The transcript is spliced from 3 exons. The record is from RefSeq and is a predicted model, not a curated record.
AUACCAAAAAACUAUCAUGAUGGUAAAUGGUUGGUACUUAUAUAACGCUUUUCCACACUUUUAUGGUGUCAAAAGCGCUUUACAAAGCCUCACAUUCACCCAUUCACACACACAAUCAUACACCAGUAGGCGGCUGCUGCCAU